AUACGUAGGUGACAAGCGUUAUCCGGAUUUACUGGGCGUAAAGGGCGUGUAGGCGGUCUUGCAAGUCAGAAGUGAAAUUCCUGAGCUCAACUCGGGCGCUGCUUCUGAAACUGCAGGACUUGAGUGCUGGAGGGGAUAGCGGAAUUCCUAGUGGAGCGGUAAAAUGCGCAGAUAUUAUGAAGAACACCGGUGGCGAAGGCGGCUAUCUGGGCAGUAACUGGCGCUGAGCGGCGAAAGCGUGGGGAGCAAACAGGGUUAGAUCCCCGGGUAGUCCAUGCCGUAAACGAUGAAUACUAGGUGUAGGGGGUAUCGACUCCCUCUGCGCCGCAGUUAACACAAUAAGUAUUCCGCCUGGGGAGUACUGCCGCAAGGUUGAAACUCAAAUGAAUUGACGGGG
RNAcentral lists this ribosomal RNA (397 nucleotides) under uncultured bacterium. RNAcentral describes it as "partial 16S ribosomal RNA". It matches the Rfam family "Bacterial small subunit ribosomal RNA", at positions 523 to 918 of the family's 1533-position model. The record is from RNAcentral.